AUUGAACGCUGGCGGCAUGCCUAACACAUGCAAGUCGAACGGCAGCACGGCAGUAGCAAUACUGUGGGUGGCGAGUGGCGGACGGGUGAGGAAUACGUCGGAAUCUGCCCAAUCGUGGGGGAUAACUAACCGAAAGGUUAGCUAAUACCGCAUACGACCGAGAGGUGAAAGCGGGGGACCGCAAGGCCCCGCGCGAUUGGAUGAGCCGACGUCGGAUUAGCUUGUUGGUGGGGUAAAGGCCUACCAAGGCAACGAUCCGUAGCUGGUCUGAGAGGAUGAUCAGCCACACUGGAACUGAGACACGGUCCAGACUCCUACGGGAGGCAGCAGUGGGGGAAUAUUGGACAAUGGGCGGAAGCCUGAUCCAGCAAUGCCGCGUGUGUGAGAAGGCCU
Molecule: ribosomal RNA, 393 nt
Filed under: uncultured bacterium
Lineage: Bacteria
Description: bacterial SSU rRNA
Rfam family: Bacterial small subunit ribosomal RNA
Source: RNAcentral